This 282-nucleotide long non-coding RNA is filed under the name Vigna radiata. RNAcentral describes it as "long non-coding RNA (VRAD_LNC000454)". The record is from RNAcentral. Lineage: Eukaryota; Viridiplantae; Streptophyta; Magnoliopsida; Fabales; Fabaceae.
UGGUGCCAUAAGGACUCCGCCACAAAUGGAGUUUGAGGUCGGGUCGGGUCGGGUUUAAACUUAACUAACUUUUUCAAGAAUUUUCCAUGUGCUCGAAACAGAGGGAGUAUUGAUUGGAUAGAUUUUUAAUAAAAAAGGAAAUAUGGUAAAUAAGACAUAAUGGCUAUUAGCUACUAUCGUACAUUGAGACAGACGAGUCCACCACCUACUUCCUAAUUAUUUAAACAUACUUCUUCUUUUUUAUAUUUUUUAACAAAAUUGUUAAUAAAUUUUAUAUUCAUG